This 492-nucleotide ribosomal RNA is filed under the name uncultured bacterium. Its description in RNAcentral is "partial 16S ribosomal RNA". It matches the Rfam family "Bacterial small subunit ribosomal RNA", at positions 28 to 507 of the family's 1533-position model. The record is from RNAcentral.
GAUGAACGCUAGCUACAGGCUUAACACAUGCAAGUCGAGGGGAAACGACAUCGAAAGCUUGCUUUUGAUGGGCGUCGACCGGCGCACGGGUGAGUAACGCGUAUCCAACCGGCCCAUCACUUGGGAAUAACCUUGCGAAAGUAAGACUAAUACCCAAUGAUAUCCCACGAAGGCAUCGGAAUGGGAUUAAAGAUUUAUCGGUGAUGGAUGGGGAUGCGUCUGAUUAGCUUGUUGGCGGGGUAACGGCCCACCAAGGCAACGAUCAGUAGGGGUUCUGAGAGGAAGGUCCCCCACAUUGGAACUGAGACACGGUCCAAACUCCUACGGGAGGCAGCAGUGAGGAAUAGUGGUCACUGGGCGAGAGCCUGAACCAGCCAAGUAGCGUGCAGGAAGACGGCCCUAUGGGUUGUAAACUGCUUUUAUAAGGGAAUAAAGUGGGUCACGUGUGACUUUUUGCAUUUACCUUAUGAAUAAGGACCGGCUAAUUCCGUG